UAGAUAGAUGCUCGCUGGUUUGGGCGCUUAGCUGUUAACUAAGAAUUAAAAGGAUCGAGGCCUUUCUAUCUAG
Molecule: transfer RNA, 73 nt
Filed under: Coelorinchus caelorhincus (hollowsnout grenadier)
Lineage: Eukaryota; Metazoa; Chordata; Actinopteri; Gadiformes; Macrouridae
Description: tRNA-Asn
Source: RNAcentral